UGCCAGCCGCCGCGGUAAUACGGGGGGAGCAAGCGUUGUUCGGAUUUACUGGGCGUAAAGGGCGUUUAGGUGGUUUGGUAAGUUGGUGGUGAAAUCCCUUGGCUUAACUGAGGAACUGCCUCCAAAACUGCUAAACUCGAGUGUGGGAGAGGAAGAUAGAAUUCCUGGUGUAGCGGUGAAAUGCGUAGAUAUAUGGAGGAAUACCGGUGGCGAAGGCGACUUUCUAGUUUAUUCCUGACGCUGAGGUAUGAAAGCUAGGGGAGCAAACAGGAUUAGAUA
RNAcentral lists this ribosomal RNA (279 nucleotides) under uncultured bacterium. RNAcentral describes it as "partial 16S ribosomal RNA". It matches the Rfam family "Bacterial small subunit ribosomal RNA", at positions 506 to 784 of the family's 1533-position model. The record is from RNAcentral.